UACGGGGGGGGCAAGCGUUGUUCGGAAUUACUGGGCGUAAAGGGCUCGUAGGCGGCCAACUAAGUCGGACGUGAAAUCCCCAGGCUCAACCUGGGAACUGCGUCCGAUACUGGAUGGCUUGAAUCCGGGAGAGGGAUGCAGAAUUCCAGGUGUAGCGGUGAAAUGCGUAGAUAUCAGGAGGAACACCGGUGGCGAAAGCGCUCAUCUGGCCCAAUACUGACGCUGAGGCGCGAAAGCUAGGGGAGCAAACGGG
This 253-nucleotide ribosomal RNA is filed under the name uncultured bacterium. Its description in RNAcentral is "partial 16S ribosomal RNA". It matches the Rfam family "Bacterial small subunit ribosomal RNA", at positions 524 to 776 of the family's 1533-position model. The record is from RNAcentral.